GCUCUUAUGAUCGAACCUAUCUGAGACCCCUGAUAAUCUGUCUCAAUACCCAGCAAAGAAUAAAUCCCAACACUAAUGUAAAUGUAAAAAUAUGCUGAAUCUUAUAAUUUAGCAGACCUAUUGCUACAGACAUCUGUGAACAGGCUGCAAGGCAUCCUAUGGAAAAAUAAUGCUUCUUAAACCAGGGUCAUAUUAUUAAACCCCUAGCGUAACAGUUUAGACAUAUAAUGCCACUCCC
Molecule: non-coding RNA, 238 nt
Organism: Pelobates cultripes (western spadefoot toad)
Lineage: Eukaryota; Metazoa; Chordata; Amphibia; Anura; Pelobatidae
Source: the annotation of a GenBank genome assembly